UGCCAGCCGCCGCGGUAACACGGAGGGUGCAAGCGUUGUCCGGAUUUAUUGGGUUUAAAGGGUGCGUAGGCGGCCUAUUAAGCCAGUGGUGAAAGGUAUCAGCUUAACUGAUGACGUGCCAUUGGAACUGAUAGGCUUGAGUACAGACGGGGUAGGCGGAAUUUAUGGUGUAGCGGUGAAAUGCAUAGAUACCAUAAAGAACACCAAUUGCGAAGGCAGCUUACUAGACUACAUCUGACGCUGAGGCACGAAAGCGUGGGGAGCGAACAGGAUUAGAUA
RNAcentral lists this ribosomal RNA (279 nucleotides) under uncultured bacterium. RNAcentral describes it as "partial 16S ribosomal RNA". It matches the Rfam family "Bacterial small subunit ribosomal RNA", at positions 506 to 784 of the family's 1533-position model. The record is from RNAcentral.